GAUGAACGCUGGCGGCGUGCCUAAUACGUGCAAGUCGAGCGAACGGACGAGAAGCUUGCUUCUCUGAUGUUAGCGGCGGACGGGUGAGUAACACGUGGAUAACCUACCUAUAAGACUGGGAUAACUUCGGGAAACCGUGGCUAAUACCGGAUAAUAUUUUGAACCGCAUGGUUCAAAAGUGAAAGACGGUCUUGCUGUCACUUAUAGAUGGAUCCGCGCUGCAUUAGCUAGUUGGUAAGGUAACGGCUUACCAAGGCAACGAUGCAUAGCCGACCUGAGAGGGUGAUCGGCCACACUGGAACUGAGACACGGUCCAGACUCCUACGGGAGGCAGCAGUAGGGAAUCUUCCGCAAUGGGCGAAAGCCUGACGGAGCAACGCCGCGUGAGUGAUGAAGGUCUUCGGAUCGUAAAACUCUGUUAUUAGGGAAGAACAUAUGUGUAAGUAACUGUGCACAUCUUGACGGUACCUAAUCAGAAAGCCACGGCUAACUACGUG
RNAcentral lists this ribosomal RNA (497 nucleotides) under uncultured bacterium. Its description in RNAcentral is "partial 16S ribosomal RNA". It matches the Rfam family "Bacterial small subunit ribosomal RNA", at positions 28 to 507 of the family's 1533-position model. The record is from RNAcentral.